UAAGUAUAGGUUUCACUCACACGCACCCACCUAUCUUCCGAAAACCUCCCGAACCCCUCUCACAACUUCGAUCAUCUCUCGCCUUCUCCAUCACUGCCGGCGUCCCUCAUUCUCUUCCUCUACCCGAUUGGGAGAGGACAGGCUCCCUCUUCCGCCUCCAUCUCAUCUACAGCCGACGCUAACGCACACAAUAGGAGCUUCAUCCCAGAAUCCGCAGGCCAUCUCAUCUCCUCUACCAUCUUCCUCGCCGUUAACGGCAAGGUCUUCUCACAGAGCUUCCAGAUCUGAAAGCCAUCUCACGGUGCCUUCAUCUUUAGCCCACAGCUUCUUCCAAUUGGGAGAGGCGCCACCACCGAACUCUACAUCACCCUCUCCUGAUUAGUAGAGGUUUCUUCGCCACCACUAGUUUCCUUCCACCUCUCCAUUUCGGAUUUGAAGAGUAAAGCUUCAUCACUAGCCAGCAACCCCUCUCCUCUUCGGAUUUGAAGAGGAGAGUUCAUCCAUCCUUCAACAACCCCUUUAUCUUCAGAUUCGAAGAGAAGAUUUCAUUCUCCAUCGACGAGCAGCCAUCCACUUCGUCCACAGCCUUCGCUGGUAGAUUGGCCGUCAGAGAAGCUCCAUCCAGCAGCCCCCUCUCCACUUCGAAUUCGAAGAGGAGAGUUCUAUUCCGAUCCAUGCCUAUGACAUUGGGUUAUUUCUAUAUAUGUUGAAUUGUGUUAUUCUUGUUGAUUGUUGAAUUGUAACGUAGCUAUUCUCCCAUGUUUAGAAUUGCAUGUAAUUUUGCUUAAUUGAAUUCUCGCUCGUUAUGUGUUUGAUGAAAUGCCUCUUUCAUUAGUUAGUUUAUAAACUUGCAUCUUCUUUGGUUUGAAUUCUUGUGAUGAUUAGUUAGUUGAAUGUUUUAGGUUAGAUUAGAUUAGGUUAGUUGAAUUUUGACAAAUUUAUUCAUGUGGAAGUUUAUUUCUAAUAUUUCCUAAAUUUUUGAAUACUCAAAAAUAGAUUGAAGAGGAAUGAAAAUGCUCAAAAAUAGAUGUGGGGAAUGUUCUCGACGAGGUCACAUUUUGACACUCAAGUCAAAAAAAUGAACAUUAGGGACUUAGUGCAUACCUAAACUUCAUUGGCCGUGGUGCCUUUCAUUGGCUAGAUUGUCCAAUUUUCAACUGCUGAAAGUGUUGGACUUCAUCGGACAGUCUUAACAAGUAUCUGUUUCAUGUUGGUUGGAGCACAACUAAAAAUGAUGGUUCUGCUGUGCCAUCUAGGUUAUCAAUGGUUUGUUUUUUUCAUUGCUUAUGUGUGAUUUUGGUCAAGAGUUCUGAUAUUUGUGUUCGAGAGAGGAUUUUGAACAUUAUUUCUGACCAAAAUACUCUAGUCAUCAAGCUGUACACAGUGAGUUCUUCUUAUAUCCACAUAGAUUUACAUGGUCCAAAUAUACCUAUUGACGUGCAAACAUAGUCUAUUUCUUGAAGCUUGAUCUCUUCAUAUAUAUAUGCCUCUUGCAUGGAAUAAUGUUUUUAGAUAUUCAUAUGUAAAUUUUCUUGUCAUUACAUAUCAUAGCAACCAAUGCUGAUGCACAAGAAGUCAAAAACAAUUUCAUUUUAUCAAAUUGGACUUAUAAAAGAAAUAGGGAUCUAUGGCUGCAUCAAUUUUCGACCUUUUAGUUAGCUUGCUAGAUUUGAAGUCCUCAAUUGUUUUUUCCCAGAAUCUACCAAUAAUUUGAGGAGCAGAUCUAGUGGAACAAAUCAAACUGCACUCUUUGUUUAGCAAUUGUUUCCUCGAUCUUACUUAGCAGAUCUAGUGGAAUGAAUUAUGCUUCCCUCUUGGUUUAACAAUUGUUUCCUUGAUCUUACUAUUCUUGGAUCGGUUGGACCGACUAGAGGGGGUGAAUAGCCCUGUAAAGUAGUAUUAUGAAUCUUCUCUUGCUUGUCAUGAACCAGUUGACAAUUGCCACUCUUUUGAAUACUCAUUAUACUGAUCUCUCAUAUGUUAGGGAAACUAAGCAUUGGCCUCCGAGCUUAAUCGAUUCUUUGUAGCAUUUCAUCACACUUUCCUAACAAGCUCCAAUAUCUUGCUUGGUUGAUAAAUGGUGAUGCAUUAAGUCUUUUUCAAUGCAGAUGUUAAUGGGUCAGAAACAAAUUUUGUGUAUCACUUCUAAAGGACAUCAUAUCACAGCCUCUUCUCAAGUGCAACGAGAAAGCCACAUAUAAACAUAGCUAAGUGAUGCUCAAAAUUGCUUGCAUGAUGCUCUUUGAGGAGACAUUGAUAAGCGAAGAGGAGGAUUAAGAAGCACUACUUGAUCAGAAUAUGGAGGAUUAAGAUGCAGAAUAUAGAAAAAUAAAAGUCCAUGGCUGCAUAUAUCAAGAGAGAGGUUUGUUCUGCCUUGGUGCAACUUAUAGAAGUUCGACCAUCAUUCCUAGAGAUAUGUAAAAAAAAUUAUUUGGUUUUUAGAUGGAUUUGUUCAUAUUUCUAUUGAUUGCCCAUAUUGGUUGUGUGUUUUUGUCAUUCUAUCUUAGACGAACAUCACAAUGGGAAGAUGUUGUGGAAUUCUAAAAUAGUAGCAUCAACAUUUCUGCUAGCACAACCAUGACAUGGUAGCACAUAGUGAAAUGUGGAUGUUGAUUAUAUAAGAUAUUGUACAUUAAGCCAUGAAUUUGUUCUCCUUUUUUGGUUUAUUAGUUAUGUUGUGUUGUUUAUUGAUUUAAUGCUAAGUAAAUUGUUUUGAUUCCUACUUCAGAAUCUAAGAGUUUAUAGAAUCUACUAGAGAUAUUGUUGUUGUUCCAUUUUUGUGGGUCAUCAAGACUAACUUACACUUUGUCUUGAAUCUUUCAUGUGCAGUGCCUUUUCAGAUAUUUUAAAGGUGAAUGGAGGUAUUCAAAAACUCCAGCUAAAUAGCUUGGGUAUGGAUGAUUACUGGAGCAACAACUACAUACUAUGUGGCACUGCAUCCGAACCUCAGGGGUGUGACUGGGAAGUACUUCGACGAAGAACUAUCAAGAAGGCUUUGGGAUUUAAGUGAGGAUAUGGUUAAAGUCAAUGAGUAAAGAACAUUCAAGUCAAGAGGAUAAGUAGCAUCUAUAAAGAUCCUUUAAGUUCAUGCAAUAAGAUGUAGAUGAUAUAAGUAGUUUUCAGUGUCUCCUAAUUAAAAUUUCUUUGUAUGCAAGUAAUUAUGCUUGUUAUAAAGUGUAUGGAUGAUAAUUUAUAUAUUUAUCUUGGUUGUUUAUUUAAUAAUAUGUCGUUGAUUGAAGUA
Molecule: long non-coding RNA, 3241 nt
Organism: Zingiber officinale
Lineage: Eukaryota; Viridiplantae; Streptophyta; Magnoliopsida; Zingiberales; Zingiberaceae
Exons: 3
Source: RefSeq, a predicted model, not a curated record